GGGGGGAGCAAGCGUUGUUCGGAUUUACUGGGCGUAAAGGGCGCGUAGGCGGCCUCCGCAAGUCAGUUGUGAAAUCUCCGAGCUUAACUCGGAAAGGUCAACCGAUACUGCGCGGCUAGAGUGCGGAAGGGGCAACUGGAAUUCUUGGUGUAGCGGUGAAAUGCGUAGAUAUCAAGAGGAACACCUGCGGCGAAGGCGGGUUGAUGGGCCGACACUGACGCUGAGGCGCGAAAGCUAGCGAAGCGAACGGGAUUAGAUACCCCGGUCGUCCUAGCACUUCAACGAUGAAUGCUUGGUGUGAUGGGGUCUGUAUAGUCCCCGGCUGCCGUCGUUAACGCCUUAAGCAUUCCGCACUGGGGAGUACGGUCGCAAGACUG
Molecule: ribosomal RNA, 377 nt
Filed under: uncultured bacterium
Lineage: Bacteria
Description: bacterial SSU rRNA
Rfam family: Bacterial small subunit ribosomal RNA
Source: RNAcentral